UACGAAGGGGGCUAGCGUUGCUCGGAAUCACUGGGCGUAAAGGGUGCGUAGGCGGGUCUUUAAGUCAGGGGUGAAAUCCUGGAGCUCAACUCCAGAACUGCCUUUGAUACUGAGGAUCUUGAGUUCGGGAGAGGUGAGUAGAACUGCGAGUGUAGAGGUGAAAUUCGUAGAUAUUCGCAAGAACACCAGUGGCGAAGGCGGCUCACUGGCCCGAUACUGACGCUGAGGCACGAAAGCGUGGGGAGCAAACAGG
Molecule: ribosomal RNA, 253 nt
Filed under: uncultured bacterium
Lineage: Bacteria
Description: partial 16S ribosomal RNA
Rfam family: Bacterial small subunit ribosomal RNA
Source: RNAcentral